UAAUCACUCCGGAUGAAACUUCUUCAUAUUUUUAAGAAAAGUAAUAAUUUGUUAUUCUUCAAUAAUUAUAGUAUUAUUAUAUUUAAUCUUUUACACAUUAUAAAUUACAUAAUAUAUAAAAAAUUUAACUUCAAAAAUAAUCACCAUUCAUAUUUUAAAGCUAAAUUCAUUUUUGAACUUAAUAUUUCUCUUAAAACUCUUUUAAACAUGAUAUGAAUAUUUAGGUUUAGACAAAUAAGUCAACUCUUGCAUAGAGGUUGAAGUACGCAUGCAUUAGAUGCAUUUUCAGACUUAAAUAUCCAUAUAGUUGAUUAAUCAAAAUAGCUUAUUGUUCAGGAGAAUAUGUCACUACCUUUAUAAAGUCAAAGGUUGAGAAACUUUAAUGAACAUAUAAGAUAAGGAGAAUCUGGAAAGAUAUUUUUAUUGGUGUUAUAAAACUAUACAUUAACGGGCUAUUUAUUUGCAUCUGAAAUCUUUUAAUAAACUAUUCCAAAUCAAAACAACCGUUAUUAUCCCAAUAUGGUAAAACUACCUAACAAUCUAUCACAUCCCAUAUUUUUAUUGUUAAGUUUGCAUAAUUAUUUCAAAAAAUGAGUUCCUGGUUUGAUGGAUAAAAGAUAAUUAAGAGAUAGAAAAUUUAUCUUUAAGAUUUCAGUUCAAAUUUCUUCCCUUGCAUAAUGUUUAAUUUUUGCUAUUUUUUCUCUCAUCCCUAUUUUUGUGCCACCCCUACCUAGGUACCCUAGGUAUAAAUAUUAUUUUUUCUUUUCUGUCAGCUUUUCUCAUUUGUUUUUCUCUCUUGUCAUCCCACCCUCUCAUUUUCUCUCUACUCUUUCAAUUUUUCUCUCUUUUCUUCAACCUUGUGCUGCCUCAUAACCUAGUUUUAUCACCAUUGUUGUGUUGCCCCUCUACUUCUCUAUUGGUGGUGUUGUUUUGCUUUGUUUUCUUCCUCUCUUUCACCCUUUUGCUCAUUAUUUUGUUGCUUUUCUUUGUUGUUCAUUGCUUCCAUUUUUCUCCUCCCGUUGCCACACAUUUAAGCCCUUUGUUGUUGCCAUUUUUCUUGCAUUACCGCCUCUCUAUGCCCUCAUCUUCUCAUCUUUUUCUUCAUUUUUGGUUGUUGAUUUUUACCACCUUUGACCGAAUUCCCCUAGGCUAUUGUUAGUGUUCUUUUUAAUUCUGUGAUCACUAUUCAUCAUAGAUCUAAAGCGGGUGAAGCCUAAUUGCUGAUUUUUAAUGCGAUCCACAUCAUUUUCUUCGUUUCUUUUUAUUCUGUUGUUGCUGAGUGUGCUUGUGCUUUGGCCGAAUUUUACAUACUAACUUUCAUGUGUUUUAAAUGUUGAAAGACUGAAUCCAAAUGUCUCGAAUCAACAAUGACAUCAGAAAUCAUUCGUAUCUUCGUUAUAUUUUGAAAUAAGUUAAGUAGAGGUCCCGAAAGUUUGAAUUGAUUGGCUACUAUAAAUACUUGUUUUGGUCGAACCUUAUAGAGGUGCCUAAAGGCUAUUUUUAAUCAAAUUUUAUUCAUGUUGUGUACAGAUCCGGUCUAGAUUUGUUUAGAUUUAAGGCAUGAAAGUUGUGGAUUUUUGAGUAGUGCUGCGGUUUUGCGAAUACAAGAGCACUUGGGAGAAAAAGGAGUGAAAACUAGAGCAUUGGAGCAAGCUACAGAAGCUACACGAGCUAGACCAUUCUACACGACCAUGUGACCGACACAAGCAUGUGGUUGGCCGUGUCGAUUUCACGGGAUUUCAUACUAAACUUAGAAAAAUCAUGAUUUUUUAGGUUUUUUGAGCAUUCUAAGAUGUAUAUAUGACAACAAUAAGAAGAUCGGAGUGAGUCGUCAAAGAAUAUUUAAGAAGACAACUCGAGAAACACCAUUGAAGCCGACUUGGAAGUAAAUUUCUGUCAAGACUGAAGAUUCCCAGUUCAUUUCUUAGGAAGUUAUCACGAGUUUCUUUGUUUCUUUCGAUUAUAAAUUUUCAAGUAUGAACUAAUUUUUAAAUACCUCGGGAGAUGAAUCCUAUGAUGGAUUCUGUCAUUUAAUUUUUAUUUUACACAAAAAUUAUUUA
This is a long non-coding RNA of Gossypium raimondii (Peruvian cotton), 2060 nucleotides long. RefSeq lists it as uncharacterized. The transcript is spliced from 2 exons. The record is from RefSeq and is a predicted model, not a curated record. NCBI's taxonomy places the organism in Eukaryota, Viridiplantae, Streptophyta, Magnoliopsida, Malvales, Malvaceae.